RNAcentral lists this long non-coding RNA (613 nucleotides) under Nicotiana benthamiana. Its description in RNAcentral is "long non-coding RNA (NBEN_LNC010929)". Lineage: Eukaryota; Viridiplantae; Streptophyta; Magnoliopsida; Solanales; Solanaceae. The record is from RNAcentral.
UCAAAUGUCCAAUUUCUGAGGGAAACUAAAGGUUCCCAAGGCAAGGCUCAUAAGAGGGUUCAAAACUUAGGGUCUAAGAGUAAGUGCAAGUGUAAUAAAAAGGGAAAAGGCAACCUGGUGGUCUUGCCCAGCAAUUUUGAGGUGCUGGCACACCCCUGACCAACUUGUCAGUCUAAAUUUAAGAGUUAAGACCUGUUGACGGCCAGGUUCAACCACGAACAACAAUUUGGAUGGUGCCAUGCUAUACCUUAACUCAGCACACAUAGGGGAAUGGGGUAUGGGAUUCAUAGCAGAAACAGAAGACAAAGGAAGAUGGGUAAAGGGCAUGAUCAGUAAUGAAAAAUACUGACACAACUUUUACUUCUGGUCAAAUUUCAGUUCAUGGACAACAAAUCAAAUUGCCAUGCCCUAAAUCCCCAUUUAUAGACAUAUAAAUUGUCAUGGGGUAGGGAUCAAACAUUUACAGGAAAGUAAAGCAAACAUAGCAUAUGAACAUGUCAAAUUCUCCAGGUAACAGACAUAGAUAUAAAGACUUGUAUAUAAACACAUUGGAGUGACACUGGAAAUCCAAAUUAGGACAUACCAGUUUCAGGUACGUAAAUGAAUAAAAAAA